CCUACGGGAGGCAGCAGUAGGGAAUCUUCCACAAUGGGCGAAAGCCUGAUGGAGCAACGCCGCGUGAGUGAUGAAGGUUUUCGGAUCGUAAAACUCUGUUGUUAGGGAAGAAGAGUCCGACGAGAAAGCCCCGGCUAACUACGUGCCAGCAGCCGCGGUAAUACGUAGGGGGCAAGCGUUGUCCGGAAUUAUUGGGCGUAAAGCGCGCGCAGGCGGUUUAUUAAGUCUGAUGUGAAAGCCCACGGCUCAACCGUGGAGGGCCAUUGGAAACUGGUAAACUUGAGUGCAGGAGAGGAGAGCGGAAUUCCUGGUGUAGCGGUGAAAUGCGUAGAUAUCAGGAGGAACACCCGUGGCGAAGGCGGCUCUCUGGCCUGUACUGACGCUGAGGCGCGAAAGCGUGGGGAGCAAACAGGAUUAGAUACCCUUGUAGUC
Molecule: ribosomal RNA, 432 nt
Filed under: uncultured bacterium
Lineage: Bacteria
Description: partial 16S ribosomal RNA
Rfam family: Bacterial small subunit ribosomal RNA
Source: RNAcentral